Non-coding RNA from Lactobacillus sp. wkB8, 91 nucleotides. The record is from Rfam. NCBI's taxonomy places the organism in Bacteria, Bacillati, Bacillota, Bacilli, Lactobacillales, Lactobacillaceae.
AAAAUAAUAUCGGGGUGCCGUAUAGGCUGAGAAUAUACCCGUUGAACCUGCUAUGGAUAAUGCCAGCGAAGGGAAAACGAAAGAUUUUACG